This 497-nucleotide ribosomal RNA is filed under the name uncultured bacterium. RNAcentral's name for it is "partial 16S ribosomal RNA". It matches the Rfam family "Bacterial small subunit ribosomal RNA", at positions 28 to 507 of the family's 1533-position model. The record is from RNAcentral.
GAUGAACGCUGGCGGCGUGCCUAAUACAUGCAAGUCGAGCGAACAGACGAGGAGCUUGCUCCUCUGACGUUAGCGGCGGACGGGUGAGUAACACGUGGAUAACCUACCUAUAAGACUGGGAUAACCUCGGGAAACCGGAGCUAAUACCGGAUAAUAUAUUGAACCGCAUGGUUCAAUAGUGAAAGACGGUUUUGCUGUCACUUAUAGAUGGAUCCGCGCCGCAUUAGCUAGUUGGUAAGGUAACGGCUUACCAAGGCAACGAUGCGUAGCCGACCUGAGAGGGUGAUCGGCCACACUGGAACUGAGACACGGUCCAGACUCCUACGGGAGGCAGCAGUAGGGAAUCUUCUGCAAUGGGCGAAAGCCUGACGGAGCAACGCCGCGUGAGUGAUGAAGGUCUUCGGAUCGUAAAACUCUGUUAUUAGGGAAGAACAAAUGUGUAAGUAACUAUGCACGUCUUGACGGUACCUAAUCAGAAAGCCACGGCUAACUACGUG